Molecule: ribosomal RNA, 357 nt
Filed under: uncultured bacterium
Lineage: Bacteria
Description: bacterial SSU rRNA
Rfam family: Bacterial small subunit ribosomal RNA
Source: RNAcentral
ACCGGACCUUCGGGCCCGGGGAAAGCGGCGAACGGGUGAGUAACACGUGGGUAACCUGUCCUUGGCACCGGGAUAGCCCGGGGAAACCCGGAUUAAUACCGGACGGUCUCCGAAGUCUUUGGACGUCGGAGAAAAGGUGGCUUCGGCAUCCGGCCGAGGAGGGGCCUGCGGCGGAUUAGCUUGUUGGUGGGGUAACGGCCUACCAAGGCGACGAUCCGUAGCUGGUCUGAGAGGACGAUCAGCCACACUGGGACUGAGACACGGCCCAGACUCCUACGGGAGGCAGCAGUGGGGAAUCUUGCGCAAUGGGCGAAAGCCUGACGCAGCGACGCCGCGUGCGGGAAGAAGGCCUUCGGG